This 492-nucleotide ribosomal RNA is filed under the name uncultured bacterium. RNAcentral describes it as "partial 16S ribosomal RNA". It matches the Rfam family "Bacterial small subunit ribosomal RNA", at positions 29 to 507 of the family's 1533-position model. The record is from RNAcentral.
AGUGAACGCUGGCGGUAGGCCUAACACAUGCAAGUCGAACGGCAGCACAGUAAGAGCUUGCUCUUACGGGUGGCGAGUGGCGGACGGGUGAGGAAUACAUCGGAAUCUACUUUUUCGUGGGGGAUAACGUAGGGAAACUUACGCUAAUACCGCAUACGACCUACGGGUGAAAGCAGGGGAUCUUCGGACCUUGCGCGAUUGAAUGAGCCGAUGUCGGAUUAGCUAGUUGGCGGGGUAAAGGCCCACCAAGGCGACGAUCCGUAGCUGGUCUGAGAGGAUGAUCAGCCACACUGGAACUGAGACACGGUCCAGACUCCUACGGGAGGCAGCAGUGGGGAAUAUUGGACAAUGGGCGCAAGCCUGAUCCAGCCAUACCGCGGGGGUGAAGAAGGCCUUCGGGUUGUAAAGCCCUUUUGUUGGGAAAGAAAAGCAGCAGGUUAAUACCCCGCUGUUCUGACGGUACCCAAAGAAUAAGCACCGGCUAACUUCGUG